GGCGAGCCACCAGGAGGGGAUCCAUGCCGGGUGGCCGGGGACGCGCCUCUCCCGUGAUCCCCUUUCUUCUCCAUGACGGCACAGGUUAGUGGCCUCUCAAGCUCUCUUUUCCUUCCCUCUUCUCCAUCUCGCACCGCCCAGACGAUGCCGCCUCACCUUCCACUGGUCCCCUCGAUCUCGGCUCGGGCAGGUCGCCGCCGCCCCCUCCCACCGUGAGGAAGACGACGCCAGAGCCAGGCGGCGGCGCUGGGCUGUACGCCGAGCCUCCCUCAGCCGCCUCCGUCCUCCCUACCGAUGCUCCGUCCUCCGUUUCAAUCAGCUCUGCUCCAACUUUGACUGACAGUUAGUGCCCCGCCUCGACCUGCUCUGCCCCAGUCUGGACAUCAGGUAGCUGCGAGCUCAGGUCGGGGCGCAGUCUAGUGACGCAAGGAGGGGAACCCUGCCAAGAAAAGGAGGCUCUCUGGUCGGGGUAGCACCUGGAGGAGGAGACGACGAGGGCCUCCACCACGACGCAACGUCUGAUGGUCGGCCAUAUUUAAAGUGUUUUCAGUUUCAGGCACACUCCCAGUAGGCCUCUCCUCCCAAAGUAGAUCUCUGAACUUGCUCUCGAUGGGUAGUAUGAUGAUCUGUGAUGCACCUCUGUUUGGUAGAUACACCACAUGAACAAAUGGACAAAGAGGAGAAAAGAAGGACUAGUUAAUAAAAUCAGGAUGCAACUGCGAGCACACAUGUAACAAAUAAUGCAGAAUAAUAUGUCCCAUGCAACCCUGUGACAAAUAUGUUUGAUAUAACCACAAUCAUAGGAAGCUUCAAAUUGUAGGAAAGGUCAUUUUAACUCCCUCAAAAUCUAUGUACUGAAUAAUUUUAAAAUUAUCAUCAGCUUGAUCAAGCAGCCUGAAUUUGACGCCUCAUCUGUUAGAUCUGCAGAAUCAGCUGGCAAUUGGCUGCAACCUUCAUCUCUAAAACUAAAUUAUAAUACAACACUUUGGUUAUUCAGUCCCCUUGGGACACAAUUACUUUCAAAUCGUUCAACUACAACUGCACUUGUCAAAAAUUCAGAACAGUGCCAUGCUACUAAGUUGGAACUUACGACGUGCCACUCCCACCAACUUGGCAACCAAGACAAGAUGGAAAUGCUAUUAAUUCUGCUACCACUACACUAUCAAUUAGCUUUAAUCGUCUCAGUGCCGGUUCAUUCUAGCAAAUUGUUGAUUUGUACGGUUUUGGAAAUUGAUGAGAUACUGGAUUUACUGAUGUGGGAAUUGUCUAUUUGAAUUUUCUACAUUAGUAGAUUACCAGCGACAGCAAGGCACGGCGAUGGCCGGUGGUGGAGAAGACAUUCAGCCUCUUCAGCUAUGCUGUCGACCACCGAGUAUUGACUACAAAUACUACUCACGGAAUAUCUUCAGGUGAAUUUGCUGGGCUUGAGCGAGGGGAAUGGAAUGGGAGACGACGACACAAGUGUUGAAGGCUAGGGAUUUGGGAGCCAAGGAUGUGACGACGUGGAAUGAGAUGGGGGACGACAGUGCAAGCGAGAUGUAGGAGGGUAAAAUUGGAAACCAACAAAAUUUCAUAACAUGACAAGAUUUGUAUGUGGAAGUCUAAAACAUCUUACAUAUGUGAACAUAGGUAGUAUUAGUUUACAAUGGCUCCCAAUCUGAGCCUAAGAUGUCAUUUACCAUGAAGGUAGGCCAUUCUAAAAUUGGAUUCUUUUUCCCAUAGCAAUUCAUUUUUGCCAAUUCUGGGAAAGAUGAUCACCUAAUUUCAUGCACGUCAAAAUAAAUAGAAAUGAAAGCAACGAAUAAUGAGCAAAGAGCACCUCUAUCUAACCCUUAUUACAGUGUAGGCGCUACUAGAGCAAAUACAUCAACUAAAACAAUCACUAGUUCCAAUAUUAAUUUAAGAAAAUAAGAUCCAGCUACAACUUCAUAACCAAAUAUAACUACACUUGGCAUCAUUGUUCAACAGCAUGAUCAACCACGCAAACAUUAAUUUAAGGAAACAAGAUCCUACUUGACAUCAUUGUUCGACAUCAUGAUCAACUGCGCAGGACUCCAGAAACUCAGGAUAGUAGACUUGCC
This 2081-nucleotide long non-coding RNA is filed under the name Triticum aestivum (bread wheat). RNAcentral's name for it is "long non-coding RNA (TAES_LNC024929)". The record is from RNAcentral. Lineage: Eukaryota; Viridiplantae; Streptophyta; Magnoliopsida; Poales; Poaceae.